UCCAGACAGACUAACGCAUUCCAGCUGUUCUGCGAUAUAUUCCCCAUUGGUUAACAGAUUAGCACACAGGGGGUCGCUGUUACACCUGUGAGACCUAGUCCAUUUGUCUGAAACACAAAGCGUCUUUCCUUUUAUCUGCAGUUUCCUGUAACUCUUCUCCUCAGGCAUUGUCAGAAAAAUUCAAGGGCUCUUGCAGGCAGAAAAGAGACACAAGCAUACAACUAACACAGCUGCCAAGCUAUUGCAAAAGCAGAAAUAUUUCUAAAGGCAUCCCUUCCAAAGCAACCUCUUGUCUUUGCUCUUCUGUGCAUGAGGGAAAAGAAAAGGACACAGCUGUGGAUGUGGAAAAGGGCAGAUUUUGCAGGACUAUUAAACAACAAAUUGUUAAAACGGUCAUGCCGCUCUCUUUCUCCUUCGUGGUUUUGAUAAUUUUUUGUUCAAAAAAGACACAUGCAGACUCAGUAACUCAGCCCGAAAGCACCGUUACCAUCCAUGAAGGAAAAUCUGUGCUUCUUUAUUGCACCUAUGAUUACUCUGGGUCUCCUGUACUCUACUGGUACGAGCAGUAUCCCCAUGAAGCCCCUCGCCUGUUGCUGACACAAUAUGAAGCCUCGGAUGAGGAGGAGAAGAGACGCAGGCGAGGGUUCUCUGCUAAGCUGGAGAAAGACUCCAAAUCCUUCCACCUGGAGAAAAAAUUCAGCGAAAUGAGCGACUCCGCUGUCUAUCACUGCGCCUUGAGAGACACUGUGAGCAAAGCCGCCAGGGGAGCUGCACAAAAACCCCACUUACUGAGGGCAUGGCUACACUUGGCCCAGCGGGAGAGUUUGGUGCAGGAUCACUCAUAGUCCUUCAGCUUGUGAAUCAUUCUGGGGUUUAGGCCUCCACUUUCCUGUCAUGGCAGGGUGCAUCCUGACAGGAAAAAACCACCACAGGCACCUAAGGGAACUUUUACUCAAAAAAAAUUUAGGCACGGUGAGAUUUUAGGCAACUACAGGGCUUGGGAGCAGCUGAACCGGGGUUUUGCGAAUCCUCGAAACGCCUGAUUCUGGGAUUUAGGCACCUACUUGCCACUUUAGGUGGCAAAGUCCCUUUGUGAAUCUAGCCCUUAAGUGUGUUACGAUGGAGAUUAGGCGCCUAGAGGGAUUCAGUGAGAGUUAGGCAUCUAGGAGCUUUUAAAAUACCAGAAAGCCUCUAUAUUGCCUCAUUGGGCACCUUAGUGCCUAUAAUAAUCAGACCCUAAAUGACUUGCCCAAAAAGUCACCCAGGAAAUUUGUGGCAGAGCAAGGAAUCAAUUAUUUUGUAUCUUUUGAGGGUAACUUUCAAAAACUGGUAACCCUCCCGUAAUCCGGACAAUGGCCUCAUUGUCAAAACUCCUCUGGAGAGAGACCCCGGGCGCCGCGUCCCAUGUGAGACCGCGGAUUGUCGCAAGAGAUGAGCGCUUGGUUUUCUUGUUGUUUUAUCUGACAUCCACUAGAGGGCGCGCCACACCUUCACAUCCGCAUUAGGUUUUGCCCGUGUGUAUCACAGUAAUUUGGAAUCAGACGCUGGAUGAGUCUGCUCGUUGUGUGGCGUCACCAGCGGAGAGGAAGGACAGAAAGUUCAGGGAGGAAGCAGGUUUCAUCUUUAGGACAUGAAUGGUCAUUCUCAGAAACGCAAAGGAGGAGGAGAUAUUCGCUAACUAGCUGCAGGUCGUAGUCAUAACACAAGGGUAACCUGAAGCUUCAAAAUGCUCUUGUUCGUGGCUGUACAGCUCUGGCUUCUGCUUCCGCAGUCAGGUGAGAGUAAAAACUUUCCUUUGCAAUAAAAGCAUUUGCAAAGAAAAAGAAAAAUACAGGUCUCUGAACAAAUAAACCGUAGGAGGAAUUUUGUUUUCCUUUGCAAAGAGACAGCCAGGUUAGCAUCACAAACCAA
Molecule: non-coding RNA, 1911 nt
Organism: Chelonia mydas (Green sea turtle)
Lineage: Eukaryota; Metazoa; Chordata; Testudines; Cheloniidae
Source: the annotation of a RefSeq genome assembly